Molecule: ribosomal RNA, 449 nt
Filed under: uncultured bacterium
Lineage: Bacteria
Description: bacterial SSU rRNA
Rfam family: Bacterial small subunit ribosomal RNA
Source: RNAcentral
CCCAGACUCCUACGGGAGGCAGCAGUGGGGAAUAUUGCGCAAUGGGGGAAACCCUGACGCAGCAACGCCGCGUGAAGGAUGACGGCCUUCGGGUUGUAAACUUCUGUCGCAGAGGAAGAAGAAAGUGACGGUACUCUGUGAGAAAGCCACGGCUAACUACGUGCCAGCAGCCGUGGUAAUACGUAGGUGGCGAGCGUUGUCCGGAUUUACUGGGUGUAAAGGGCGCGUAGGCGGAUUUGCAAGUCAGAUGUGAAAUGCCGGGGCUUAACUCCGGAACUGCAUUUGAAACUGUAGACCUUGAGUGCCGGAGGGGAAAGCGGAAUUCCUAGUGUAGCGGUGAAAUGCGUAGAUAUUAGGAGGAACACCAGUGGCGAAGGCGGCUUUCUGGACGGUAACUGACGCUGAGGCGCGAAAGUGUGGGUAGCAAACAGGAUUAGAUACCCCAGUAA